Molecule: long non-coding RNA, 574 nt
Organism: Microplitis demolitor
Lineage: Eukaryota; Metazoa; Arthropoda; Insecta; Hymenoptera; Braconidae
Exons: 2
Source: RefSeq, a predicted model, not a curated record
CAGUAUCAUAAUCUUGUAUCAAGUGAAUUCUAAUUGAUAAUAAAAUCAGUUAGGGUUAAGAUAAUAAUGUAAAAUUGAUUAUACUUCGAUAUUUUACAAUUAUACUGAUAUACUAACGAACUAAGAUUAAACUGAUAAGUAAACGUGUAGCAUAUAGUUCGACUUAUAAAAAAAUACCGUUAAAUUUAGUGGUGGGAGUAAAGAUAUCAUACCGAAAAUGAGCAUGAUCAUGUUGGGAGCAGUAUUUAUUUACUAGAUUAAUUCAUGGGCAAUAGCAAGCCUGCUGGGUGGUAUCAAGAAUAUAUUCUCGUAGUUGUAUGUAUAAGGCCCUAUAUUUAAGGGUGUAGUUUAGUUGGUCAUUUUUGAAAAAUCGUUUUCGUUUUUUUUACAUUUUUUUAAUGUAUAUGUAUCCAAGCAUAUUGUGCCAAAUUUUUAUGGAGAUCCGAGCGGUGUAAGCCGUUGCUGAAAUAUCGUGAUUGAUCCGACAUUCCUUUAAAUUAUGGCGCUUCGUUAGAGUACACCUUUUACAUGAACAUACUUAAAAAAAUGAAUUAAAAAAUCUAUUUUUUUAUAA